RNAcentral lists this long non-coding RNA (987 nucleotides) under Heterocephalus glaber (naked mole-rat). RNAcentral describes it as "lncRNA (ENSHGLG00000050737.1)". The record is from RNAcentral. Lineage: Eukaryota; Metazoa; Chordata; Mammalia; Rodentia; Bathyergidae.
GGUUCCUGCCGUGAGGGAGUUGUUCCCCUGCUGCUCCCCAGGCCUUCCACUUCAGGGAUCUCUUCAGAUAAAGGGGGUGGCUGGGGCCUGAAAUCUCAGCCCUCUCCCCCAGUGCAGAAUGGCAAGGUCCCAGCACUGACCCCAGCCAUCCAGUAGGGACAGGAAGCUCAGAAAGCAGGCUACUUGCCUCUCAGUGGCUAUGGACCUGGAGCAGAAUUGAGUGAGACGGUCCUUGUCUGCCUGCCAGUCUCCCUUCAGACCCUUCUUCACCCACUUCCACUUGUUCACCGCCUUCCCACUGCCAGCCCAGGAAGAGGGUUAGCAAAGGCUGAGCCAGCUCUGACCCAGUCUCCUCUCCCCACGUUUUGGUGGUGACCUCAUGCUGCAGAAAGUAGGUCAGCCUGGAGUCCAUUGGGGCUCUCUCUGGCCCUACCUACAGCCCUGGGCAGCUUGGGUCAGGACUGAAUAUGGACAUGCAGGGCUCAGGAGCCAGCCAGGGACCUAUGGACAGCUGCGGCCUGCCCUGGGCCCAGGGCCCUUUGGGAGCCCUGACAUGAAGAGAGGCAGCAAUGGCCAGUUGGAAGCCAGUUACGCAGGCCGCUGCCCUCUUGGGAAAUGCUGAGCACCUGAGCUGUCUCCUGCCCAUUGGAGAGCCCCAAAACAGUGGGCUUUGCUGGAGCAAGGAAGGCAGGACGUUGGGGCUUGGCCUCUGAUGGUGCCUAUCCUGGGUCUCCUCUGGGCUGAAGUAUCAAUAAAUGGAAUCUGUUUCCACUUGCCUCUGUGUACCACUGCAGUGAGGGUAGCAGGGGCUGGCAACCACUACCCAGCACCCCAUUCAUUUAUUCAUUCACAAACACCAGUGUGGCUGUGUGCCAGGGGCCGUGCAUCUAGAUGGGUGACAUUGUGAAAACAAAUCAAAGACCAGUGAGGGAACCAAUCUAAGUUAGGGGACUUGUGUAUGGAAAAAAGAUACUUCAUAAUUUGUUU